RNAcentral lists this long non-coding RNA (898 nucleotides) under Homo sapiens (human). Its description in RNAcentral is "PREDICTED lncRNA (TCONS_00185630)". Lineage: Eukaryota; Metazoa; Chordata; Mammalia; Primates; Hominidae. The record is from RNAcentral.
UCUUGAGAGAUCUGAUGGUUUUGAAAAACAGGAGUCUCCCUGCACAAGCUUUCCUUUUGCCUGCUGCCAUCCAUGUAAGGCAUGAUUUGCUGCCUUCCACCAUGAUUGUGAGGCCUCCCCAGACAUGUGCAACUGGGAUUGAUGUGAGCAUUAAAAUUUGAGAAGCGAUCCCUAGGCUGGAGCUCUUCCUCCCUGGCCCAGAUGGACAGAGUCACCCACUGCUUUGGGGGAAAGAAGAAAACAAAGCAGGAAGAGGGAUGCAAAUUCCUGACUACCGAGUUUUUAAAAAUCCACUUGCUUAAAUUUAAGGCAGAAAUCAUAGUGCAUAUACCUGCAGAACACAUUUUUUCUCUGCUGUCAGAUAAAUUAAGACUCCACCCCUGAAGGAGAGAGGAAGAAGAGGGACCAUGGAGACAGGAGCUAAGUGAGAUCAAGAGGCUCCAGGUCUUGGGAGUGAUGCCAUUCAUCCCAGUGCCACAUGGCUGCCCAGUUUGUGCCCAGUUGUCCUCCUCAUGGCCAUCUGCUAGGGCACACUCAUGGUCAUGUUGCCAGCCAAUCAGACAGAAGGACUGAGGCUCUUCUGCAGCCAGAGAAUUUGCUUUAGCCACUGUCUGACCAUGCAGACCCAUGUGGGCCACAGCACCCCCGGAAUAGAGUAUGGGGCCCUAGAUACCUUCAGAGGUAAUGUGACCAAGAGGAAAAGCUCCGUUAGGAACAAGACCUCACCAUGUCAAAGACAUCCAGCGACGCAUUCUACACUUUUGAUUUGGUUUCCCCCUUGCAUGUCCCAUUAUGUGAAGAGAAGGCUCUGGAACUUCCAACUUCAUCCUUCAUGGGAAAAAAUGGAAAUAAUGAAGGUGACUUAAUAGCAUAAUGGCUUGUCACAGCUGGGAAUGAC